RNAcentral lists this long non-coding RNA (464 nucleotides) under Androctonus crassicauda. Lineage: Eukaryota; Metazoa; Arthropoda; Arachnida; Scorpiones; Buthidae. The record is from RNAcentral.
GCGAAGCAGAACUGUGUUGUAGAUACGUUGAUGACAUCUUGGUCGUGUGGGAUGGCGAGGAUAGCGUCAAUCGAUUGGAGGGGGAAUUUGCGAUCCCAGCUUGUGGCCUGGAUCUCCAACUUGAUCAAAUCAGUGGGGAUGGGCUGCAUUUUUUGGACCUUGACAUCUCUAUUACGGGCGGCUCCGUGGAGACUGCGGUAUAUGGGGGGCCCACUGGUGCGACUGUGCUGGUCCCACGCUGGUCCAGUGAUGGGUGGGUGCACAGGAGGGCCGCAUUGAGAUCGCUACUGCUGAGAGUGGCAACACAUUGCACUGCAGAGCGGGCCACCCGGGACGAGCUGAGGCGUGUCAUGGAGGUUGCCGGCAGGCACGGAUGCAAUCGUUCCUUUAUUGAGGGACUGUGGAGUGAAAUUUUGAACAGGAGGAGCGCUUUGACUGCGCAGGAGGGGGGGGGCUCCUCUGCA